CCCUUAGAUGUUCUGGGCCGCACGCGCGCUACACUGAUGCAUUCAACGAGCCUAUCCUUGACCGACAGGUCCGGGUAAUCUUUGAAUCUGCAUCGUGACGGGGAUAGAUUAUUGCAAUUAUUAAUCUUCAACGAGGAAUGCUUAGUAGGCGCAAGUCAUCAGCUUGCGUCGAUUACGUCCCUGCCCUUUGUACACACCGCCCGUCGCUCCUACCGAUUGGGUGUGUUGGUGAAAUGUUCGGAUCGGCCGUUUGUCGCGGUUUCCGCGUCAUGUGGCUGAGAAGUUCAUUAAACCCUCCCACCUAGAGGAAGGAGAAGUCGUAACA
This 325-nucleotide ribosomal RNA is filed under the name uncultured eukaryote. RNAcentral's name for it is "partial 18S ribosomal RNA". It matches the Rfam family "Eukaryotic small subunit ribosomal RNA", at positions 1470 to 1796 of the family's 1831-position model. The record is from RNAcentral.